UACGGAGGGUGCAAGCGUUAAUCGGAAUAAUUGGGCGUAAAGAGCGCGUAGGUGGUUUGUUAAGUGCGUUGUGAAAAACAUGGGCUUAACCUGUGUGUGUCAACGCAAACUGACGAACUAGAGUGAAGUAGAGGGUCGUGGAAUUUCCGGUGUAGCGGUGAAAUGCGUAGAGAUCGGAAGGAACACCAGUGGCGAAGGCGACCACCUGGACUAAUACUGACACUGAGGUGCGAAAGCGUGGGGAGCAAACAGG
This 253-nucleotide ribosomal RNA is filed under the name uncultured bacterium. RNAcentral's name for it is "partial 16S ribosomal RNA". It matches the Rfam family "Bacterial small subunit ribosomal RNA", at positions 524 to 776 of the family's 1533-position model. The record is from RNAcentral.